RNAcentral lists this ribosomal RNA (247 nucleotides) under uncultured bacterium. RNAcentral's name for it is "partial 16S ribosomal RNA". It matches the Rfam family "Bacterial small subunit ribosomal RNA", at positions 523 to 769 of the family's 1533-position model. The record is from RNAcentral.
AUACGGAAGGUGCAAGCGUUAAUCGGAAUCACUGGGCCUAAAGCGCUCGUAGGUGGCUUUGUAAGUCAGGUGUGAAAGCCCACGGCUCAACCGUGGAAUUGCACUUGAUACUGCAUUGCUUGAGCUCGGGAGAGGGUAGUGGAAUUCCAGGUGUAGGAGUGAAAUCCGUAGAGAUCUGGAGGAACACCAGUGGCGAAGGCGGCUUUCUGGACAGUAACUGACGCUGAGGCGCGAAAGCGUGGGGAGC